CCUACGGGCCGCAGCAGUGGGGAAUAUUGGACAAUGGGCGAAAGCCUGAUCCAGCCAUGCCGCGUGUGUGAAGAAGGCCUUCGGGUUGUAAAGCACUUUCAGUGGGGAAGAAAGCCUUGGGGCUAAUACCCUCGAGGAAGGACAUCACCCACAGAAGAAGCACCGGCUAACUCCGUGCCAGCAGCCGCGGUAAUACGGAGGGUGCGAGCGUUAAUCGGAAUUACUGGGCGUAAAGCGCGCGUAGGCGGUCUGAUAAGCCGGUUGUGAAAGCCCCGGGCUCAACCUGGGAACGGCAUCCGGAACUGUCAGGCUAGAGUGCAGGAGAGGAAGGUAGAAUUCCCGGUGUAGCGGUGAAAUGCGUAGAGAUCGGGAGGAAUACCAGUGGCGAAGGCGGCCUUCUGGACUGACACUGACGCUGAGGUGCGAAAGCGUGGGUAGCAAACAGGAUUAGAUCCCCGAGUAGUC
This 465-nucleotide ribosomal RNA is filed under the name Vreelandella stevensii. RNAcentral's name for it is "partial 16S ribosomal RNA". It matches the Rfam family "Bacterial small subunit ribosomal RNA", at positions 338 to 795 of the family's 1533-position model. The record is from RNAcentral. Lineage: Bacteria; Pseudomonadati; Pseudomonadota; Gammaproteobacteria; Oceanospirillales; Halomonadaceae.